GACGAACGCUGGCGGCGUGCUUAACACAUGCAAGUCGAACGGAAAGGCCCUGCUUUUGUGGGGUGCUCGAGUGGCGAACGGGUGAGUAACACGUGAGUAACCUGCCCUUGACUUUGGGAUAACUUCAGGAAACUGGGGCUAAUACCGGAUAGGAGCUCCUGCUGCAUGGUGGGGGUUGGAAAGUUUCGGCGGUUGGGGAUGGACUCGCGGCUUAUCAGCUUGUUGGUGGGGUAGUGGCUUACCAAGGCUUUGACGGGUAGCCGGCCUGAGAGGGUGACCGGCGACAGUGGGACUGAGAUACGGCCCAGACUCGUACGGGAGGCAGCAGGGGGGAAUAGUGCACAAUGGGCGGAAGCCUGAUGGAGCAACGCCGCGUGCGGGAUGACGGCCUUCGGGGUGUAAACCGCUUUCGCCUGUGACGAAGCGUGAGUGACGGUAAUGGGUAAAGAAGCACCGGCUAACUACGUG
RNAcentral lists this ribosomal RNA (468 nucleotides) under uncultured bacterium. RNAcentral's name for it is "partial 16S ribosomal RNA". It matches the Rfam family "Bacterial small subunit ribosomal RNA", at positions 28 to 507 of the family's 1533-position model. The record is from RNAcentral.